Molecule: non-coding RNA, 115 nt
Filed under: Bacillus tuaregi
Lineage: Bacteria; Bacillati; Bacillota; Bacilli; Caryophanales; Bacillaceae
Description: SAM riboswitch (S box leader)
Rfam family: SAM riboswitch aptamer (S box leader)
About the family: The SAM riboswitch is found upstream of a number of genes which code for proteins involved in methionine or cysteine biosynthesis in Gram-positive bacteria. The SAM riboswitch acts at the level of transcription termination control.
Source: RNAcentral
UCUUAUCAAGAGAGGUGGAGGGAUGUGCCCGAUGAAACCCGGCAACCGUCAAUUGCUAAUGGUCAAUUGACACGGUGCCAAUUCACACAAAGCGCUUGAGCUUUGAUAGAUGAGA